Molecule: ribosomal RNA, 603 nt
Filed under: uncultured eukaryote
Lineage: Eukaryota
Description: bacterial SSU rRNA
Rfam family: Eukaryotic small subunit ribosomal RNA
Source: RNAcentral
CUGGUUGAUCCUGCCAGUGGUCAUAUGCUUGUCUCGAAGAUUAAGCCAUGCAAGUCUAAGUUCAAACGGAAUUUUGAUACGUGGAAACUGCGAAUGGCUCAUUAAAUCAGUCUUAAUUUGGUCGGAGGAAGCUCCCCUUUGUGGGGAGGUAUACGGAUAACCGUACAAAAGGUAGAGCUAAUACGUGCCGAGAAAGCGGGGCCUGUGUUUACACGGGUGCUGCGGGUUUUAUUAGAAUUACAAGACGACGGCUUGUGUCUUUAGGCAUGGGUUUGAGUUGAAUCAUGGUAACAAGAAUGGAUUGCGGGUUGUGCUUGCACGGCUGCGAUGUACCGAUGGAAAGUCUGCCCUAUCACCUGUCGACGGUAGGAUAGAGGCCUACCGUGGGGAUAACGGGUAACGGGGGAUUAGAGUUUUAUACCGGAGAGGGCGCCUGAGAGAUGGCGACCACUUCCAAGGAAGGCAGCAGGCGCGCAAAUUACCCAAUGGCGACAUGCCGAGGUAGUGAAGAACAAUAACGAUGGGCGGGUCUUAGAACUUGCCCAAUUGGAAUGAGUUUAAAUUACAACCCUAUUCGAGGAGCAACUGGAGGGCAAGUCUGGU